This 77-nucleotide transfer RNA is filed under the name Escherichia coli. Its description in RNAcentral is "tRNA-Arg". It matches the Rfam family "tRNA". Rfam says of the family: Transfer RNA (tRNA) molecules are approximately 80 nucleotides in length. Their secondary structure includes four short double-helical elements and three loops (D, anti-codon, and T loops). Further hydrogen bonds mediate the characteristic L-shaped molecular structure. tRNAs have two regions of fundamental functional importance: the anti-codon, which is responsible for specific mRNA codon recognition, and the 3' end, to which the tRNAs corresponding amino acid is attached (by aminoacyl-tRNA synthetases). tRNAs cope with the degeneracy of the genetic code in two manners: having more than one tRNA (with a specific anti-codon) for a particular amino acid; and 'wobble' base-pairing, i.e. permitting non-standard base-pairing at the 3rd anti-codon position. The record is from RNAcentral. RNAcentral also lists the same sequence under 3 other names. Lineage: Bacteria; Pseudomonadati; Pseudomonadota; Gammaproteobacteria; Enterobacterales; Enterobacteriaceae.
GCAUCCGUAGCUCAGCCGGAUAGAGUACUCGGCUACGAACCGAGCGGUCGGAGGUUCGAAUCCUCCCGGAUGCACCA